GAUGAACGCUGACAGAAUGCUUAACACAUGCAAGUCUUUGGCGAAGCUGUGCUUGCACCGCCUAUCCACCGCGGACGGGUUAGUAACGCGUAAGGAACUUGCCCUGCAGUCAGGGAUAACAGACGGAAACGACUGAUAAGACCUCGUAAAUUCAGGCGGACUCAUGUCCAGCCUUAUGAACAGAGCUGCUGCAGGAGAGCCUUGCGUCCUAUUAGUUUGUUGUUGGGGUAACGCCCCACCAAGCCGAUGAUAGGUAGCCGGCCGGAGCGGGUGGACGGCCACAAGGGGAAUGGGAGACGGCACUUACUCAUACGGGAGGCAGCAGUGGAGAAUAUUGGAGAAUGGGGGCAACCCUGAUGAAGCUAUUCUGUGUGUACGAUGAAGGUUUUCGGAUUGUAAAGUGCUUUGAGAAGGGAAGAAAAAAAUGACGGUACCUGCAGAAGAAGCGACGGCUAAAUACGUG
RNAcentral lists this ribosomal RNA (463 nucleotides) under uncultured bacterium. Its description in RNAcentral is "partial 16S ribosomal RNA". It matches the Rfam family "Bacterial small subunit ribosomal RNA", at positions 28 to 507 of the family's 1533-position model. The record is from RNAcentral.